RNAcentral lists this ribosomal RNA (445 nucleotides) under uncultured bacterium. Its description in RNAcentral is "bacterial SSU rRNA". It matches the Rfam family "Bacterial small subunit ribosomal RNA", at positions 29 to 520 of the family's 1533-position model. The record is from RNAcentral.
AACGAACGCUGGCGGCAGGCCUAACACAUGCAAGUCGAGCGCCCCGCAAGGGGAGCGGCGGACGGGUGAGUAACGCGUGGGAACGUACCCCUUUCUACGGAAUAGCCUCGGGAAACUGGGAGUAAUACCGUAUAAGCCCUACGGGGGAAAGAUUUAUCGGGAAGGGAUCGGCCCGCGUUGGAUUAGGUAGUUGGUGGGGUAAUGGCCUACCAAGCCGACGAUCCAUAGCUGGUUUGAGAGGAUGAUCAGCCACACUGGGACUGAGACACGGCCCAGACUCCUACGGGAGGCAGCAGUGGGGAAUCUUAGACAAUGGGCGCAAGCCUGAUCUAGCCAUGCCGCGUGAGCGAUGAAGGCCUUAGGGUUGUAAAGCUCUUUCAGUGGGGGAAGAUAAUGACUGUACCCACAGAAGAAGCCCCGGCUAACUCCGUGCCAGCAGCCGCGG